GCGGAAAUAGCUCAACGGUAGAGCACAACCUUGCCAAGGUUGGGGUUGCGGGUUCGAAUCCCGUUUUCCGCUCCA
RNAcentral lists this transfer RNA (75 nucleotides) under Synergistales bacterium. Its description in RNAcentral is "tRNA-Gly". It matches the Rfam family "tRNA". Rfam says of the family: Transfer RNA (tRNA) molecules are approximately 80 nucleotides in length. Their secondary structure includes four short double-helical elements and three loops (D, anti-codon, and T loops). The record is from RNAcentral. Lineage: Bacteria; Thermotogati; Synergistota; Synergistia; Synergistales.